UUGCGGCCACAUUACGUUGAAAUAUUGGUUCCCGUACGAUCACCGAAGUUACGACACGUUGAUUCUGCUCAGUACAUAGAUAGGUGACCGCUUGGGAAUACCAGGUGCUGUAAG
Molecule: non-coding RNA, 114 nt
Organism: Acanthosepion pharaonis
Lineage: Eukaryota; Metazoa; Mollusca; Cephalopoda; Sepiida; Sepiidae
Source: the annotation of a GenBank genome assembly